UACGGAGGGAGCUAGCGUUGUUCGGAAUUACUGGGCGUAAAGCGCACGUAGGCGGCUUUGUAAGUUAGAGGUGAAAGCCCGGGGCUCAACUCCGGAACUGCCUUUAAGACUGCAUCGCUUGAAUCCGGGAGAGGUGAGUGGAAUUCCGAGUGUAGAGGUGAAAUUCGUAGAUAUUCGGAAGAACACCAGUGGCGAAGGCGGCUCACUGGCCCGAUACUGACGCUGAGGCACGAAAGCGUGGGGAGCAAACAGG
This 253-nucleotide ribosomal RNA is filed under the name uncultured bacterium. RNAcentral's name for it is "partial 16S ribosomal RNA". It matches the Rfam family "Bacterial small subunit ribosomal RNA", at positions 524 to 776 of the family's 1533-position model. The record is from RNAcentral.